This 252-nucleotide ribosomal RNA is filed under the name uncultured bacterium. RNAcentral's name for it is "partial 16S ribosomal RNA". It matches the Rfam family "Bacterial small subunit ribosomal RNA", at positions 524 to 776 of the family's 1533-position model. The record is from RNAcentral.
UACGGGGGGGCAAGCGUUGUUCGGAAUUACUGGGCGUAAAGGGCUCGUAGGCGGCCAACUAAGUCGGACGUGAAAUCCCUCGGCUUAACCGGGGAACUGCGUCCGAUACUGGAUGGCUUGAGUUCGGGAGAGGGAUGCGGAAUUCCAGGUGUAGCGGUGAAAUGCGUAGAUAUCUGGAGGAACACCGGUGGCGAAGGCGGCAUCCUGGACCGACACUGACGCUGAGGAGCGAAAGCCAGGGGAGCAAACGGG